RNAcentral lists this long non-coding RNA (3119 nucleotides) under Homo sapiens (human). Its description in RNAcentral is "HSALNT0118470". The record is from RNAcentral. Lineage: Eukaryota; Metazoa; Chordata; Mammalia; Primates; Hominidae.
CUAAAUUCAAACCAGGUCUUCCUAGUCAUUAUAAAGGUAUAUUUACCAAGGUAAGAGGUUAUGCCCAGUUGGUGUGCAAAUGUACAUUUUUUUCUUUUCCCCAGAGUUUGCAAAUGAUUAUAGAUGGCCUCAGAGAAAGGAUAUGUCGUCUGUAUGUCAAGUAAUCAGAUUGUAAAAGAGAAGUUUUAUGCAAGAAAAUGAAUGAAUGAGAUCUCCCAGGAAAGGUGUGUAAAGUGGAAAGAGAAGAACUCUAGGACACAUUUCCCAAUUAACAGUAAAGUAAUGGCAGAGCAUUGAAAAUCAAAGAGAAGUCUGCCGAGGAUCCCCAGAGGGAGUGACUUGAGAGUCAGAACAGUAUUCUGCCUCAGCACGAAAGCCAAAACAGGAGAGUCAAUUUUGAUAAUGCUACUAAAAGGUUUGGUAAGGUUUAUAUCAAAAGUGUCUACUUAAUUGAACAACAGGACAGAUACAGAGACCUUAGCAAAAACAGUCUUAGAGGAGUGUUAGGGCUGGUGCAAGACUAGGAUACUUAAGGGAGUGAAUAGGAAGUAAAGAAGUGAAGAGACCAAGAGUAGUAUGUUAUUUCAAUUAAUUUAGCUGGGAAUUAAGAGGCAAAAGAUUGGAUUCGAUGAAAGUAGACAUGGGGUGUAUCAGCUAUUGCUGUAUAACAAAUGGCUUCAAAACUCAGUGGUUUAAAACAAUCAGCAUUUAUUAUCACUCAAAUAUCUACGAAUGAGUUGGUUGUUUCUGUCAGUCUGAGCCUGGCUGUGCUCACUCGUGCAUUUGGAGUCGGCUUAGAACUGGCUAAUCUAGGAUGAGCCUACUCAGAGUUUUGGAAGUUGAUUUUUUUAUUGGCUUGGGUGUUUCAGGUAACUGGGCCAUGUUUCUCUCAUAAUCCAGCAUGCUAGUUCACAAGGCAAUGGCAGGGUUCUAAGAAAGAGCAGAAGUCUGCAAUAUCUCUUGAGGCCUCAUCAUGAAUUGGCAUAUCACCCUGUCACAGCCUGCUGGCCAAAGCAAGUCACAAAGUCAGCCAAAAUUCAGCUUAAAGAGAAGGGGAUUGACCUCUUGGUAGGAGAAACUACACAGUCUCACUGUAAAGCACAUAAGUAGAUGUAAAGAAUAAGGAAAGUCCUAGCUAGAGCAGUCAGGCAAGAGAAGGAAGUAAAAGGCAUCCAAAUAAGAAAAGAAGAGGUCAAAUUAUCUUUCUUCACUGAGAUAUGAUACCUAGAAACCCCUAAAGACUCCACCAAAAGGCUCUUAGACCUGAUAAACAUCUUCAGUAAAGUUUCAGGAUACAAAAUAAAUGUGUAAAAAUCAGUAGCGGUUCUAUACACCAAUAAUAUUCAAGCUGAGAGCCAAAUCAAGAACACAAUCCUAUUUACAAUAGCUACAAAGAAUAAAAUACCUAGGAAUACAUCUAACAAAGGAGCAGAAAGAUCUUUACAAGGAGAACGACAAAACAGUGCUGACAGAAAGCAGAGAUGACACAAAGAAAUGGAAAAAUAUUCCAUGCUAAUGGAUUAAAAGAAUUAAUAUUGCUAAAACGACCAUACUGCCCAGAGCUAUCUACAGAUUGCCGCCAAACUACCAACAUCAUUUUUCACAUAAUUAGAAAAAACUAAUUCAUAUGAAACAAACAAACAAAAAGAGAGCCUGAAUAGCCAUAGCAAUCCUAAGCAAGAAGAGCAAAGCUGGAGGCAUCACAUUACCAGACUUGAAACUACUAUAAGGCUACAGUAACCUAAAUAGCAUUGUACUCGUACAAAAACAGAUACAUAGACCAAUGGAACAGAGUAGAGAAUCUAGAAAUAAAGCCACACACCUACAACCAUCUGAUCUUCAACAAAAUCAACAAAAAUAAGCCAUGGGGAAAGGACUCCAUAUUCAAUAAAUGGUGCUUGAAUAAUGCCAGUUCUUCUGGUGCUAGCCAGAAGAAUAAAACUGAAGAAUAUGCAGAAGAAUAAAACUGGACCCUUACCUUUCACCAUAUAUAAAAAUUAACUCAAGAUAGAUUUAAAUGUAAGACCUCAAACUAUAAAAAUCCUAGAAGAAAACUGAGGAAAGACCAUUCUGGACAUUGGCCUUGGCAAAGAAUUUAUGACUAAGUCCUCAAAAGCAAUUGCAACAAAAAUGAAAAUUGACAAUGGGACCUAAUUAAAGAGCUUCUGCCCAUCAAAAUAAACCAUUAACAGAGUAAACAGAAACCUACAGAAUGGGAGAAAAUACUUGCAAACUAUGUAUCUAACAAAGUUCUAAUAUCCAGAAUCUAUAAGGAACUUAAAAAGCAAAAAACAAGUUAAAAAAUGGGCAAAGGAAAUGAACAGACACUUCUCAAAAGAAGGCAUACAUGUGGUCAACAAACAUUUGAAAAAAUGCUCAACAUCACUGAUCAUCAGAGAAAUGCAAAUCAAAACUUUAAUGAGAUACCAUCUCACACAAGUCAGAAUAGCUAUUAUUAAAAUGACAAAAAACAACAGAUGCUGGUGAAGCUAUGAAGAAAAGGAAUGCUUAUACACUGCUGGUGGAAAUGUAAAUCAGUUCAACCACUGUGAUUUCUCAAGGAACUAAAACAGAACUACCAUUUGACUCAGCAAUUCCAUUCUCAAGGAAUUAAAACAGAACUACCAUUUGACUCAGCAGUUCCAUUAUUAGAUAUAUAUCCAAAGGUAAAUAAAUCACUGUAUAAAAAAGACACAUGCACUCGUAUGUUCAUUGCAGCACUAUUCACAAUAGCAAAGACAUGGAAUCGAUUAGGUGUCCAUCUACAGUGGACUGGAUAAAGAAAAUGUGAUACAUUAUACCACAGAAUACAAUGAAGCCAUAAAAAGAACAAAAUCAUGUCCUUGGCAGAAGCAUGUCAUGUCCUUGGCAGAAGCAUGGAUGUAGCUAGAGGCCAUCACCCUAAGCAAAUUAAUAUAGGAACAGAAAACCAAAUACCGCAUGUUCUUCCUUGGAAAUGGGAGCUAAACAUUGGGUACAUAUGGACAUAAAGAUGGGAACAAUAGACACUGGGGACUCCUAGCAUGGGUGGGGAGGGGCCGAGGGGUAAGAUACUACCUAUUGGGUACUAUGCUCACUACCUGAGUGACAGAAUCAUUCAUAUGUGAAACCUCGGCAUC